GACGAACGCUGGCGGCGUGCUUAACACAUGCAAGUCGAACGGAAAGGCCCUGCUUUUGUGGGGUGCUCGAGUGGCGAACGGGUGAGUAACACGUGAGUAACCUGCCCUUGACUUUGGGAUAACUUCAGGAAACUGGGGCUAAUACCGGAUAGGAGCUCCUGCUGCAUGGUGGGGGUUGGAAAGUUUCGGCGGUUGGGGAUGGACUCGCGGCUUAUCAGCUUGUUGGUGGGGUAGUGGCUUACCAAGGCUUUGACGGGUAGCCGGCCUGAGAGGGUGACCGGCCACAAGGGGACUGCGAGACGGAGCAGACGGCUACGGGAGGCAGCAGUGGGGAAUAUUGCACAAUGGGCGGAAGCGUGAGGCAGCGACGCCGCGUGCGGGAUGACGGCCUUCGGGUUGUAAACCGCUUUCGCCUGAGACGAAGCGUGAGUGACGGUAAUGAGUAAAGAAGCACCGGCUAACUACGUG
RNAcentral lists this ribosomal RNA (468 nucleotides) under uncultured bacterium. RNAcentral's name for it is "partial 16S ribosomal RNA". It matches the Rfam family "Bacterial small subunit ribosomal RNA", at positions 28 to 507 of the family's 1533-position model. The record is from RNAcentral.